Molecule: unclassified non-coding RNA, 155 nt
Filed under: soil metagenome
Description: partial internal transcribed spacer 1
Source: RNAcentral
UAAUAAGUGUUUUAUGGCACUUUUUAAAUCCAUAUCCACCUUGUGUGCAAUGUCAGUCGAGUUCUUUUCGUUCAAUGGAAAAGGAUCGACCAAACAUCAACCUUUAUCUUUUAACUCUUUGUCUGAAAAAUAUUAUGAAUAAACAAUUCAAAAUA